Molecule: long non-coding RNA, 2735 nt
Organism: Cotesia glomerata
Lineage: Eukaryota; Metazoa; Arthropoda; Insecta; Hymenoptera; Braconidae
Exons: 5
Source: RefSeq, a predicted model, not a curated record
UAAAUAGUUUAUCACUUUUUUAUUUGAUUAAAUUCUAAAAUUAAUAAUUAAAAAAAAAUUUUAAUUUUUAUAGAGAUCUUAUUAUUGAACCAUCCUAAUGGUUGUAAACAUGAAAGAUUGGAUUUAUUACCAAAAACGGGAUGUGUGUCUGAUAUCCUUAAUAAUUAAAAAGUAGAGGGAGGAAGCGAUAAAACGAAUACGACGAUAGGAUUAAAAAAGUAUUUCACUACUUGCUCAUCCAUGCCAUAAAUAAAUAUGAUUCAACCGGAUGGAAGUAGAAUAAAAGUAUAAGCACAAGCAUAAGUAUAAUAAACGCGUAUAAAGUAAAAUAAAGUAUUUAAUAGGUAAGAAGAGAUGUAUGAUGUACGAUGAGCAGUGUGUACAAAAAUACAUGUAGUCUAAAAUGGUUUUGCAGUACCGGUGUGUAAGCACCUGGACCACCUAUUUGGAAAAUUCAUCAUGUUUAUACCUGUAACCCGCAUCUGCCUGUCACUCCCUCUCGAUUCUUCUGUCGCGUGCUCAUUUUUUUUUUUUUUACUUUAUUUUAUACUUCUCAUCUCCCCUCAUACUCUGAUGCUAAAAUCCCGUCUCCAGUCUACAGUCUACAGGAAUUACAGCCACACACUCAAGCAAUACAACACACACCCUGAUACAAAGACAAGAAAAUAAUGAACUCUGUAUAAAUUGCCGUCCGAAAAACGAGCUAGCGUUUUGGAUGACGGUAUUAUUUAUCUUAUAUACCGGUUGUUAAAUUCAACAAAUGGAUUUGUUGUGAUGAUUAUUUUUAUUUUAUUAUAUUCAUUCGAUACGUUUUUUUACAGCAGCAGCAGGAGCGAGACCAGGUUGUCCAAUUGGCCAAACCAGGCUCGAAAGAAAUCCAAGACCAAGACCAAGAUCCAGACCAAGAAGAAGAAGAAGAAGAAGAAGAAGAAGAAGAAGAAGUAAAGGUGGUACAGGAAUAGUAUAGACUUGUGGAUAAAGUAUACAAGCAAUUCUCGAAAGAGCGAGGGAGGAGUAAAGAGGGAGAGUCUUAAGCAGGGGGCAGCAGGUGAUGCGCCAGGUGGAAUACGACGGCGCGUGCGCUGCCCCCCGCCUUCCGGUCACGUGUCCUCACCCUCAACCUCCCCUACAACUGAGCACACACGCUCCUCAAGUCCUUGCACACCUAAUAACUCCUUACUCAUUCCUUCUUUUCUUAUUCAAUCUUUUUUUCAAGCUUUUUUUAUUAUUAUACAUCCUUAUUAUUUAGUUUAUUUUUCAGCGUAUCACAGCUUUCAUUUUAGGGGUCUCGUGCCAAGUCCGUCAACCUUACGACACUGACAGAUGCACACCAGAAACCAGAGACCAGAGUCCAAGUUCAGAAACUCUUCAGGAGCCCUUUCCCAACAGCUAAACAGUAACAGGGCCCGUGUACACGUUUUGCUGCUGCUGCUGCCUCUGGUGCCUUCCUUUCCUUCCGUUCAUACACUUCUUCAGCGGCUUCACUAUCGAGAGCCAGACAGGAAGCUCGAUAACCAUCGACCCGUCGGGGUUGCUUGAGAUUUUUUUGUUCACCGUUAUUUAUUUCAACUAAAAAAUUAUCUCGGACUCUUAUUAUUAUUUUAUGAGCUAUUAGUUAUUAAUAUCGCUGCAAUUUAAGCAGUUCAAAAUUAAACUUAGCUUGCGUCUAGAUGAAGAAAGACCUCCGCUAAACUAAGAAGGCUGUAUUAUGACGAUAAACGACUACUAGAAUGCUAAGUUCACUUUUAUAUUAUAUAUUAUGACGAUAUCGGAAGUUUAUUCUACGAACUAACGACAAAUAUGCGAGGAAUUAUAAAAAUUGGAGAGUUCACAUAUGUAUGCCUUAUUAUCAGACAAAAUUGAAGUGCCUGGAUGCUCAAGAUAUGUAAAAAUUAAUAAUCAAGUGGACGAAAUAAAUUUCAACGACUCGCCGAUUUUAUUUUAUUGAAUAAACGUAAUUGAUGGUAAAGAGGGGAGUUAAUAUUUAUUUACAAUAAAGUACAAUGCAAAAUCACUUUAUCGAGGAGCAGAUGCGCUAGUCGACGAGUAGAGGUUGGCCCAGGCCAGGCCAGCGUGAGCCGAAGGCAUUAAAUUAAACCGCAACAGAUGCGAGUCACAUUUGCUCUCUAGUUGGAUUCCAGAAUCGUGCAUUUGAUUCGAAGCAUUGGCAUUAUUUAUUUUCGGAAUACACUGUGUUGGUAUUAUUUUUCUGUAUAAAUUUUAAAUUGUUAAAUGUUAAACAAACACCCAGCAAGUGAGUAAUAUAAUACAAUGUAAUGUAUUGCAAUGUAAUAUAAUGAUAUAAUGCUUUGGAUAAAUAACAUAAAGCAACCGGACAGCUGCAUUUUGUGCAUAAUUUCGAUCGGAUCCGAGUGUGUGAUGAUCACGUCAACGAUGAUCGUGAUCUUGGUUUACGGUACAUACACGCGAGGGCUCAUAUUCACUGUACUACUAUAUACUAUACGGACAGUAAUUACAUCAAUGAAUGUACAUACUGAGUUGAGUACGUAAUGAGUGUUGCUGUGUACCUUGUGGGCACGUGUUAUGGUUGUAAGCAGUAAUACUCCGGGUUUUAUAACCCUGUCUGUAAGCAAGGUGCUUUACCAGUCAAUUGAUCAGAUACUAUACUUUUUAUCAAUGCUUGUUAAAUUAACUUUUUAUUGUAUUUAUGUAAAUUUCAAUUAUUUACUUCACUUCUAGAUUAAAUUUAUUAUUAUUUAAUUAAAGAGAUGAAU